This 1217-nucleotide ribosomal RNA is filed under the name Kocuria sp. RNAcentral describes it as "bacterial SSU rRNA". It matches the Rfam family "Bacterial small subunit ribosomal RNA", at positions 31 to 1260 of the family's 1533-position model. Lineage: Bacteria; Bacillati; Actinomycetota; Actinomycetes; Micrococcales; Micrococcaceae. The record is from RNAcentral.
GGACAUUACGGGGGCUACCAUGCAAGUCGAACGAUGAUGCCCAGCUUGCUGGGCGGAUUAGUGGCGAACGGGUGAGUAAUACGUGAGUAACCUGCCCUUGACUCUGGGAUAAGCCUGGGAAACUGGGUCUAAUACUGGAUACUACUGCUCAUCGCAUGGUGGGUGGUGGAAAGGGUUUUACUGGUUUUGGAUGGGCUCACGGCCUAUCAGCUUGUUGGUGGGGUAAUGGCUCACCAAGGCGACGACGGGUAGCCGGCCUGAGAGGGUGACCGGCCACACUGGGACUGAGACACGGCCCAGACUCCUACGGGAGGCAGCAGUGGGGAAUAUUGCACAAUGGGCGGAAGCCUGAUGCAGCGACGCCGCGUGAGGGAUGACGGCCUUCGGGUUGUAAACCUCUUUCAGUAGGGAAGAAGCGAAAGUGACGGUACCUGCAGAAGAAGCGCCGGCUAACUACGUGCCAGCAGCCGCGGUAAUACGUAGGGCGCAAGCGUUGUCCGGAAUUAUUGGGCGUAAAGAGCUCGUAGGCGGUUUGUCGCGUCUGCUGUGAAAGCCCGGGGCUCAACCCCGGGUCUGCAGUGGGUACGGGCAGACUAGAGUGCAGUAGGGGAGACUGGAAUUCCUGGUGUAGCGGUGAAAUGCGCAGAUAUCAGGAGGAACACCGAUGGCGAAGGCAGGUCUCUGGGCUGUUACUGACGCUGAGGAGCGAAAGCAUGGGGAGCGAACAGGAUUAGAUACCCUGGUAGUCCAUGCCGUAAACGUUGGGCACUAGGUGUGGGGGACAUUCCACGUUUUCCGCGCCGUAGCUAACGCAUUAAGUGCCCCGCCUGGGGAGUACGGCCGCAAGGCUAAAACUCAAAGGAAUUGACGGGGGCCCGCACAAGCGGCGGAGCAUGCGGAUUAAUUCGAUGCAACGCGAAGAACCUUACCAAGGCUUGACAUUCACCGGGACCGCCCCAGAGAUGGGGUUUCCCUUCGGGGCUGGUGGGACAGGUGGUGCAUGGUUGUCGUCAGCUCGUGUCGUGAGAUGUUGGGUUUAAGUCCCGCAACGAGCGCAACCCUCGUUCUAUGUUGCCAGCACGUGAUGGUGGGGACUCAUAGAGACUGCGGGGUCAACUCGGAGGAAGGUGGGGAUGACGGUCAAAUUCAUUCAUGGCCCUAUGUCCUGGCAUCACGCAUGCUUACCAUUGACCGGUACCAAAAGGGGCUUGGCGCAU